RNAcentral lists this small nuclear RNA (105 nucleotides) under Camelus bactrianus (Bactrian camel). RNAcentral also lists the same sequence under 1 other name. The record is from RNAcentral. Lineage: Eukaryota; Metazoa; Chordata; Mammalia; Artiodactyla; Camelidae.
GUUCACUUUGGCAGCACAUAUACUAAAAUUGGAAAGAUACAGAGAAGAUUAGCAUGGCCCCUACACAAGGAUGACAUGCAAAUUCAUGAAGCAUCCCAUAUUUGA